GGGGACACAUACCAACUUUGUGUAAAGCUUCAAGAAAACGGUUUGCCAAUAUUUGACAAACAAACGAAAUUAGGAAUGGAAGGUUUGCACAAAUUAUUCUUCCCUGGUGAAGACUUUAAAGAUCGUCACAGUGCUUUGGGAGAUGCAGG
Molecule: long non-coding RNA, 149 nt
Organism: Dendronephthya gigantea
Lineage: Eukaryota; Metazoa; Cnidaria; Anthozoa; Malacalcyonacea; Nephtheidae
Exons: 3
Source: RefSeq, a predicted model, not a curated record